AAUUAUUGGUCUUCAACGAGGAAUUCCUAGUAAGCGCGUGUCAUCAGCUCGUGUUGACUACGUCCCUGCCCUUUGUACACACAGCCCGUCGCUCCUACCGAUUGAAUUAUCCAGUGAAGUGUUCAGAUCGCGUCAACGAGGGUGGUUUGCCACCGAUGAUGUCGUGAGAAGUUCACUGAACCUUAUCAUUUAGAGGAAGGAGAAGUCGUAACAAGGUUACCGUAGGUGAACCUGCAGUAGGAUCAUUG
Non-coding RNA from Picea glauca (white spruce), 248 nucleotides. The record is from Rfam. Lineage: Eukaryota; Viridiplantae; Streptophyta; Pinopsida; Pinales; Pinaceae.